GCCCGGCGGUGGCACGUGCCUGUAGUCCCAGCUACUCACGAGGCUGAGGUGGGAGUAUGGCUUGAGCGUAGGGGUUCUGGGCUGUACUGUGCUAUGCCGAUCGAGUGUCUACACUAAGUCAGGCAUCAAUAUGCUGACCUCCCGGGGGCGGGGGACCACCAGGUUGCCUAAGGAGGGGUGAACCGGCCCAGGUCAGAAAUGGAGCAGGUCAAAACUCCCAUGCUGAUCAGUAGUGGGAUUGCGCCUAUAAAUAUAGCCACUGCACUCCAGCCUGGGCAACAUAGUGAGACCCCGGCUCU
Molecule: signal recognition particle RNA, 299 nt
Filed under: Saimiri boliviensis boliviensis (Bolivian squirrel monkey)
Lineage: Eukaryota; Metazoa; Chordata; Mammalia; Primates; Cebidae
Description: Metazoan signal recognition particle RNA (ENSSBOG00000000655.1)
Rfam family: Metazoan signal recognition particle RNA
About the family: The signal recognition particle (SRP) is a universally conserved ribonucleoprotein. It is involved in the co-translational targeting of proteins to membranes.
Source: RNAcentral